Molecule: ribosomal RNA, 1427 nt
Filed under: Lactiplantibacillus plantarum
Lineage: Bacteria; Bacillati; Bacillota; Bacilli; Lactobacillales; Lactobacillaceae
Description: bacterial SSU rRNA
Rfam family: Bacterial small subunit ribosomal RNA
Source: RNAcentral
GCAAGUCGAACGAACUCUGGUAUUGAUUGGUGCUUGCAUCAUGAUUUACAUUUCGAGUGAGUGGCGAACUGGUGAGUAACACGUGGGAAACCUGCCCAGAAGCGGGGGAUAACACCUGGAAACAGAUGCUAAUACCGCAUAACAACUUGGACCGCAUGGUCCGAGCUUGAAAGAUGGCUUCGGCUAUCACUUUUGGAUGGUCCCGCGGCGUAUUAGCUAGAUGGUGGGGUAACGGCUCACCAUGGCAAUGAUACGUAGCCGACCUGAGAGGGUAAUCGGCCACAUUGGGACUGAGACACGGCCCAAACUCCUACGGGAGGCAGCAGUAGGGAAUCUUCCACAAUGGACGAAAGUCUGAUGGAGCAACGCCGCGUGAGUGAAGAAGGGUUUCGGCUCGUAAAACUCUGUUGUUAAAGAAGAACAUAUCUGAGAGUAACUGUUCAGGUAUUGACGGUAUUUAACCAGAAAGCCACGGCUAACUACGUGCCAGCAGCCGCGGUAAUACGUAGGUGGCAAGCGUUGUCCGGAUUUAUUGGGCGUAAAGCGAGCGCAGGCGGUUUUUUAAGUCUGAUGUGAAAGCCUUCGGCUCAACCGAAGAAGUGCAUCGGAAACUGGGAAACUUGAGUGCAGAAGAGGACAGUGGAACUCCAUGUGUAGCGGUGAAAUGCGUAGAUAUAUGGAAGAACACCAGUGGCGAAGGCGGCUGUCUGGUCUGUAACUGACGCUGAGGCUCGAAAGUAUGGGUAGCAAACAGGAUUAGAUACCCUGGUAGUCCAUACCGUAAACGAUGAAUGCUAAGUGUUGGAGGGUUUCCGCCCUUCAGUGCUGCAGCUAACGCAUUAAGCAUUCCGCCUGGGGAGUACGGCCGCAAGGCUGAAACUCAAAGGAAUUGACGGGGGCCCGCACAAGCGGUGGAGCAUGUGGUUUAAUUCGAAGCUACGCGAAGAACCUUACCAGGUCUUGACAUACUAUGCAAAUCUAAGAGAUUAGACGUUCCCUUCGGGGACAUGGAUACAGGUGGUGCAUGGUUGUCGUCAGCUCGUGUCGUGAGAUGUUGGGUUAAGUCCCGCAACGAGCGCAACCCUUAUUAUCAGUUGCCAGCAUUAAGUUGGGCACUCUGGUGAGACUGCCGGUGACAAACCGGAGGAAGGUGGGGAUGACGUCAAAUCAUCAUGCCCCUUAUGACCUGGGCUACACACGUGCUACAAUGGAUGGUACAACGAGUUGCGAACUCGCGAGAGUAAGCUAAUCUCUUAAAGCCAUUCUCAGUUCGGAUUGUAGGCUGCAACUCGCCUACAUGAAGUCGGAAUCGCUAGUAAUCGCGGAUCAGCAUGCCGCGGUGAAUACGUUCCCGGGCCUUGUACACACCGCCCGUCACACCAUGAGAGUUUGUAACACCCAAAGUCGGUGGGGUAACCUUUUAGGAA